UACGUAGGGUGCGAGCGUUGUCCGGGAUUAUUGGGCGUAAAGAGCUUGUAGGCGGUCUGUCGCGUCUGCUGUGAAAAUCCGGGGCUCAACCCCGGACUUGCAGUGGGUACGGGCAGACUAGAGUGUGGUAGGGGAGACUGGAAUUCCUGGUGUAGCGGUGAAAUGCGCAGAUAUCAGGAGGAACACCGAUGGCGAAGGCAGGUCUCUGGGCCACUACUGACGCUGAGAAACGAAAGCAUGGGGAGCGAACA
RNAcentral lists this ribosomal RNA (251 nucleotides) under uncultured Intrasporangiaceae bacterium. Its description in RNAcentral is "partial 16S ribosomal RNA". It matches the Rfam family "Bacterial small subunit ribosomal RNA", at positions 524 to 774 of the family's 1533-position model. Lineage: Bacteria; Bacillati; Actinomycetota; Actinomycetes; Micrococcales; Intrasporangiaceae. The record is from RNAcentral.